AUAACCUCAAAACUGUGUGCUAUUGUGAUGACUUUUGUUACUUUGUGGUGAUAGUGUUUAUGAAAGCCAGUUGAAAUAAAAGUGUGAAAAAUGGGAAAAAAAUAAAAGUAGUGUUUGGAAAGUGUACAACGAAAGAGGUGAUAAAACUGUAGACUGCAAGUAUUGUGGAAAACAUUAUAAAUUUGCAAAUGUCACAAAAAUGUCUGAGCAUAUUGUCAAAUGCCCAGUGGACUUAAAAAACAGUAUUUUAAGAGUUGGGAGGAUCACAUCUCCAGUUAUAAAUGUCACAAACAAUUUAGAGACUGCUUCUGUGCCUUCAUCCAUGCAAUCAAACUCAGAUGUAGGCCUAAUUACUGCAACAUUGCCAGCAACAUCAUAUCUACACCUACCUGCUGUCAGUAGUAUUAGUACAAUACCUAUUUGGAAUGCUAAAGCUAAACAAAAACAACAGGCAAUGGGAAUGUAAGGUUAUCUGAAGUCCCAGCAUGCUCUUCCUCUAUGCAAGUAGUACCUACAUGCAGAGAAUCGAAGGUACUGUCAGUUUUAUUUACUGACUCCGAAGCAUGUGAAGAAGUUACCUACGUUGAGUCAGAUAACGAAACUUCUGAAGAUGAAUAAAUUGCUUCAAACUAUUAUAGUGCACUAUAUUUGACAUUUCUGCAAGUUGCAAAGAAAUUACUACCUAUAUUAUAAUUGUUCAUCUCUGUAGUAGACCGGCCGACGAUUGAUGCGCGGCUCCUGCGCAUGCUGCCCCGGACGGUGGUCUCUCUCCGCCAGGGGAAGGCAGUCCUUGCUACGUUCCUCUCGAGCAAGGGCGCGUCUCGCAGCCACGGCAACCAAGCUUUUCUGCAGCAAUACCCGCGCGCGCUUAUCGCAGCCGAGCGGAAGCGGAUGCGCCCGGA
Long non-coding RNA from Bacillus rossius redtenbacheri, 902 nucleotides. RefSeq lists it as uncharacterized. Lineage: Eukaryota; Metazoa; Arthropoda; Insecta; Phasmatodea; Bacillidae. The record is from RefSeq and is a predicted model, not a curated record. The transcript is spliced from 3 exons.